CAGUCGCCGCGGGAAUACGAAGGGUGCAAGCGUUACUCGGAAUUACUGGGCGUAAAGCGUGCGUAGGCGGUUUGUUAAGUCUGUUGUGAAAUCCCCGGGCUCAACCUGGGAAUGGCAAUGGAUACUGGCAAGCUAGAGUGUGUCAGAGGAUGGUGGAAUUCCCGGUGUAGCGGUGAAAUGCGUAGAGAUCGGGAGGAACAUCAGUGGCGAAGGCGGCCAUCUGGGACAACACUGACGCUGAGGCACGAAAGCGUGGGGAGCAAACAGGAUUAGAUACCCGCGUAGUCCCUGUCUCUUAUAC
Molecule: ribosomal RNA, 301 nt
Filed under: uncultured bacterium
Lineage: Bacteria
Description: partial 16S ribosomal RNA
Rfam family: Bacterial small subunit ribosomal RNA
Source: RNAcentral